Molecule: ribosomal RNA, 460 nt
Filed under: uncultured bacterium
Lineage: Bacteria
Description: partial 16S ribosomal RNA
Rfam family: Bacterial small subunit ribosomal RNA
Source: RNAcentral
CCUACGGGCGGCAGCAGUGAGGAAUAUUGGUCAAUGGACGAGAGCCUGAACCAGCCAAGUAGCGUGAAGGAUGACUGCCCUAUGGGUUGUAAACUUCUUUUAUAAAGGAAUAAAACGAGGCACGUGUGCCUUUUUGCAUGUACUUUAUGAAUAAGGAUCGGCUAACUCCGUGCCAGUAGCCGCGGUAAUACGGAGGAUCCGAGCGUUAUCCGGAUUUAUUGGGUUUAAAGGGAGCGUAGAUGGGUUGUUAAGUCAGUUGUGAAAGUUUGCGGCUCAACCGUAAAAGUGCAAUUGAUACUGGCAGUCUUGAGUACAGUUGAGGUAGGCGGAAUUCGUGGUGUAGCGGUGAAAUGCUUAGAUAUCACGAAGAACCCCGAUUGCGAAGGCAGCUUACUAAGCCAUAACUGACACUGAAGCACGAAAGCGUGGGGAUCAAACAGGAUUAGAUACCCUAGUAGUC